AGAGUUUGAUCCUGGCUCAGAUUGAACGCUGGCGGCAUGCCUUACACAUGCAAGUCGAACGGCAGCGGGGACUUCGGUCCGCCGGCGAGUGGCGAACGGGUGAGUAAAGUAUCGGAACGUACCUUUCAGUGGGGGAUAACGUAGCGAAAGUUACGCUAAUACCGCAUAUUCUGUGAGCAGGAAAGCAGGGGAUCGCAAGACCUUGCGCUGAUUGAGCGGCCGAUAUCAGAUUAGCUAGUUGGUGGGGUAAAGGCCUACCAAGGCGACGAUCUGUAGCGGGUCUGAGAGGAUGAUCCGCCACACUGGAACUGAGACACGGUCCAGACUCCUACGGGAGGCAGCAGUGGGGAAUUUUGGACAAUGGGGGCAACCCUGAUCCAGCCAUGCCGCGUGAGUGAAGAAGGCCUUCGGGUUGUAAAGCUCUUUCGGCCGGGAAGAAAUCGCAUAGGUUAAUACCCUGUGUGGAUGACGGUACCGGAAUAAGAAGCACCGGCUAACUACGUGCCAGCAGCCGCGGUAAUACGUAGGGUGCGAGCGUUAAUCGGAAUUACUGGGCGUAAAGCGUGCGCAGGCGGUUUCGUAAGACAGAGGUGAAAUCCCCGGGCUCAACCUGGGAACUGCCUUUGUGACUGCGAAGCUAGAGUACGGCAGAGGGGGGUGGAAUUCCACGUGUAGCAGUGAAAUGCGUAGAGAUGUGGAGGAACACCGAUGGCGAAGGCAGCCCCCUGGGCCGAUACUGACGCUCAUGCACGAAAGCGUGGGUAGCAAACAGGAUUAGAUACCCUGGUAGUCCACGCCCUAAACGAUGUCAACUAGGUGUUGGGUGGGUAAAACCAUUUAGUACCGUAGCUAACGCGUGAAGUUGACCGCCUGGGGAGUACGGCCGCAAGGUUAAAACUCAAAGGAAUUGACGGGGACCCGCACAAGCGGUGGAUGAUGUGGAUUAAUUCGAUGCAACGCGAAAAACCUUACCUACCCUUGACAUGUUCAGAAUCCUGGAGAGAUUUGGGAGUGCCCGAAAGGGAGCUGGAACACAGGUGCUGCAUGGCUGUCGUCAGCUCGUGUCGUGAGAUGUUGGGUUAAGUCCCGCAACGAGCGCAACCCUUGUCGUUAAUUGCCAUCAUUUAGUUGGGCACUUUAACGAGACUGCCGGUGACAAACCGGAGGAAGGUGGGGAUGACGUCAAGUCCUCAUGGCCCUUAUGGGUAGGGCUUCACACGUCAUACAAUGGUCGGUACAGAGGGUUGCCAAGCCGCGAGGUGGAGCCAAUCCCAGAAAGCCGAUCGUAGUCCGGAUUGCAGGCUGCAACUCGCCUGCAUGAAGUCGGAAUCGCUAGUAAUCGCGGAUCAGCAUGUCGCGGUGAAUACGUUCCCGGGUCUUGUACACACCGCCCGUCACACCAUGGGAGCGGGUUCCGCCAGAAGUAGGUAGCCUAACCGCAAGGGGGGCGCUUACCACGGCGGGGUUCGUGACUGGGGUGAAGUCGUAACAAGGUAGCCGUAGGGGAACCUGCGGCUGGAUCACCUCCUU
Molecule: ribosomal RNA, 1530 nt
Filed under: uncultured bacterium
Lineage: Bacteria
Description: bacterial SSU rRNA
Rfam family: Bacterial small subunit ribosomal RNA
Source: RNAcentral